GAUGAAGAACGUAGCGAAAUGCGAUAAGUAAUGUGAAUUGCAGAAUUCAGUGAAUCAUCGAAUCUUUGAACGCACCUUGCGCUCUUUGGUAUUCCGAAGAGCAUGCCUGUUUGAGUGUCAUGAAAAUAUCAACCUUGACUUGGGUUUUGUGCUCUAGUCUCGGCUUGGAAUUGGGUGCUUGCCGCUUUUACGAGCGGCUCACCUUAAAUGUAUUAGCUGGAUCUGUCUUUGAGACUUGGUUUGACUUGGCGUAAUAAGUAUUUCGCUAAGGACAUUCUUCGGAGUGGCCUCGUUUCUAGGACGCUUGUCCGCUUUCCAAUACAAGUUCCACCUCGUGGACAUGACUUUUUAUUAUCUGGCCUCAAAUCAGGUAGGACUACCCGCUGAACUUAAGCAUAUCAUAAGCGGAGGA
This 412-nucleotide unclassified non-coding RNA is filed under the name soil metagenome. Its description in RNAcentral is "partial contains 5.8S ribosomal RNA, internal transcribed spacer 2, and large subunit ribosomal RNA". The stretch from base 1 to 120 matches the Rfam family "5.8S ribosomal RNA", at positions 35 to 154 of the family's 154-position model. The record is from RNAcentral.